GAAUUUUGGACAAUGGGCGAAAGCCUGAUCCAGCAAUGCCGCGUGCAGGAUGAAGGCCUUCGGGUUUUAAACUGCUUUUGUACGGAACGAAAAGCUUUGGGCUAAUACCCUGUAUACAUUACGGUACCGUAAGAAUCAGCACCGGCUUACUACUUGCCAGCAGCAGCGGUAAUUAGUAGGGUGCAAGCGUUAAUCGGAAUUACUGUGCGUAAAGCGUGCGCAGGCGGGUUUGUAAGACAGAGGUGAGAUCACCGGGCUCAACCUGGGAACUGCCUUUGUGACUGCAAGUCUAGAGUACGGCAGAGGGGGGUGGAAGACCGCGUGUAGCAGUGAAAUGCGUAGAUAAGCGGAGGAACACCGAUGGCGAAGGCAACCCCCUGGGCCUGUACUGACGCUCAUGCACGAAAGCGUGGGGAGCAAACA
Molecule: ribosomal RNA, 423 nt
Filed under: uncultured bacterium
Lineage: Bacteria
Description: partial 16S ribosomal RNA
Rfam family: Bacterial small subunit ribosomal RNA
Source: RNAcentral